UUAGAGAGUGCUAAUCAAUCAUUGAAGUAUAUAUUUGAGUAAAAAAUGAAAGUUAGGAGAAGUUAGUAAAUGAUCGCAUAUAUUCAGUAUUUGUAGUGUAUUUAGUUAAUCAGUCGGUUAGAAAAGAGAUGUUACUCGAAAAGCCACAUCGGGCUAUCUGCUGUGUCCAUCGAGGGGAAUAGAACUCCUGAUUCUAGCGUUGUAAAUCCGAAGACUUACCACUAUCCCACCGAGGAAUAAAAAACAUUAUAAGUCUUUUGUACAGAAAAAGUAAGAAUUUCUAAUAAAGUACUUUUGCUAAAAGUUAAUGAUUAAAUAAAGGAAGAUGAAUAUUGAGUA
Molecule: long non-coding RNA, 339 nt
Organism: Limulus polyphemus (Atlantic horseshoe crab)
Lineage: Eukaryota; Metazoa; Arthropoda; Merostomata; Xiphosura; Limulidae
Exons: 2
Source: RefSeq, a predicted model, not a curated record